CCAACUGCACAGCGGGAGGAGCGGCAAGGGCAUGAGGGAAGUCAGCAGCGGCCAUAGUAGGUGGCGACAUCCCACCGAAGGGC
Molecule: non-coding RNA, 83 nt
Organism: Ectothiorhodospira sp. PHS-1
Lineage: Bacteria; Pseudomonadati; Pseudomonadota; Gammaproteobacteria; Chromatiales; Ectothiorhodospiraceae
Source: Rfam